Molecule: ribosomal RNA, 1346 nt
Filed under: uncultured bacterium
Lineage: Bacteria
Description: partial 16S ribosomal RNA
Rfam family: Bacterial small subunit ribosomal RNA
Source: RNAcentral
GACGAACGCUGGCGGCGUGCUUAACACAUGCAAGUCGAACGGAAAGGCCCUGCUUUUGUGGGGUGCUCGAGUGGCGAACGGGUGAGUAACACGUGAGUAACCUGCCCUUGACUUUGGGAUAACUUCAGGAAACUGGGGCUAAUACCGGAUAGGAGCUCCUGCUGCAUGGUGGGGGUUGGAAAGUUUCGGCGGUUGGGGAUGGACUCGCGGCUUAUCAGCUUGUUGGUGGGGUAGUGGCUUACCAAGGCUUUGACGGGUAGCCGGCCUGAGAGGGUGACCGGCCACAUUGGGACUGAGAUACGGCCCAGACUCCUACGGGAGGCAGCAGUGGGGAAUAUUGCACAAUGGGCGGAAGCCUGAUGCAGCAACGCCGCGUGCGGGAUGACGGCCUUCGGGUUGUAAACCGCUUUCGCCUGUGACGAAGCGUGAGUGACGGUAAUGGGUAAAGAAGCACCGGCUAACUACGUGCCAGCAGCCGCGGUGAUACGUAGGGUGCGAGCGUUGUCCGGAUUUAUUGGGCGUAAAGGGCUCGUAGGUGGUUGAUCGCGUCGGAAGUGUAAUCUUGGGGCUUAACCCUGAGCGUGCUUUCGAUACGGGUUGACUUGAGGAAGGUAGGGGAGAAUGGAAUUCCUGGUGGAGCGGUGGAAUGCGCAGAUAUCAGGAGGAACACCAGUGGCGAAGGCGGUUCUCUGGGCCUUUCCUGACGCUGAGGAGCGAAAGCGUGGGGAGCGAACAGGCUUAGAUACCCUGGUAGUCCACGCUGUAAACGGUGGGUACUAGGUGUGGGGUCCACUCCACGGGUUCCGUGCCGUAGCUAACGCUUUAAGUACCCCGCCUGGGGAGUACGGCCGCAAGGCUAAAACUCAAAGGAAUUGACGGGGCCCCGCACAAGCGGCGGAGCAUGCGGAUUAAUUCGAUGCAACGCGUAGAACCUUACCUGGGUUUGACAUGGAUCGGGAGUGCUCAGAGAUGGGUGUGCCUCUUUUGGGGUCGGUUCACAGGUGGUGCAUGGCUGUCGUCAGCUCGUGUCGUGAGAUGUUGGGUUAAGUCCCGCAACGAGCGCAACCCUUGUUCACUGUUGCCAGCACGUUAUGGUGGGGACUCAGUGGAGACCGCCGGGGUCAACUCGGAGGAAGGUGGGGAUGACGUCAAGUCAUCAUGCCCCUUAUGUCCAGGGCUUCACGCAUGCUACAAUGGCUGGUACAGAGAGUGGCGAGCCUGUGAGGGUGAGCGAAUCUCGGAAAGCCGGUCUCAGUUCGGAUUGGGGUCUGCAACUCGACCUCAUGAAGUCGGAGUCGCUAGUAAUCGCAGAUCAGCAACGCUGCGGUGAAUACAAUCCCGGGGCU